GAUGAACGCUAACGGCAGGCUUAACACAUGCAAGUCGAGGGGUAUAGUAGCAAUACUAGAGACCGGCGCACGGGUGCGUAACGCGUAUGCAACCUACCUUGAACAGGGGGAUAGCCCAGAGAAAUUUGGAUUAAUACCCCAUGGUAUAUUGAUGUGGCAUCACAUUAUUAUUAAAGUUCCAACGGUUCAAGAUGGGCAUGCGUCCCAUUAGCUAGAUGGUAAGGUAACGGCUUACCAUGGCGACGAUGGGUAGGGGUCCUGAGAGGGAGAUCCCCCACACUGGUACUGAGACACGGACCAGACUCCUACGGGAGGCAGCAGUGAGGAAUAUUGGUCAAUGGGCGCAAGCCUGAACCAGCCAUGCCGCGUGCAGGAUGAAGCAUCUAUGGUGUGUAAACUGCUUUUGUACGGGAAGAAACCCUUGCUUGAGAGCAAGAUUGACGGUACCGUAAGAAUAAGGAUCGGCUAACUCCGUG
Molecule: ribosomal RNA, 476 nt
Filed under: uncultured bacterium
Lineage: Bacteria
Description: bacterial SSU rRNA
Rfam family: Bacterial small subunit ribosomal RNA
Source: RNAcentral